RNAcentral lists this unclassified non-coding RNA (379 nucleotides) under Hevea brasiliensis (rubber tree). The record is from RNAcentral. Lineage: Eukaryota; Viridiplantae; Streptophyta; Magnoliopsida; Malpighiales; Euphorbiaceae.
AAGAGGAAGAAAAAACGGAGAGAGUCUGAGAGAAACUAUGUCCUUGAUGAAGAUGACUACGAGCUGCUGCAGGAUAAUAAUAUCACUGGUUUCCGCCGGCCCAAACCCAAUAAAUUUAAGCGAUUGAAGAAAGCGGGGAGGGAUGCCGAUGCGGAGGAGCGCUCUGGGUUCUCCGACGAGGAGGAAUCUGAAAAGAACAGCAAGGGCGGGCGGACUGCAGAGGAGAAGCUUAAGCGCAGGUUGUUCGGCGAUGAUGAAGCUGUCCCUCUGGAGGACAUAGCGGAAGAAGAGGAGCAACCUGAGGAAGACAUAGGCGGGGAUGACAUUAUUGGUGAGGGUGAGGACGACGAGAUGGCAGAUUUCAUUGUUGAUGAGGAGG